Molecule: microRNA, 23 nt
Filed under: Panagrellus redivivus
Lineage: Eukaryota; Metazoa; Nematoda; Chromadorea; Rhabditida; Panagrolaimidae
Description: prd-miR-7939j-5p
Source: miRBase by way of RNAcentral
UAUGGGCCCUCCUGGCAUUCUUG